This 196-nucleotide transfer-messenger RNA is filed under the name Candidatus Midichloria mitochondrii IricVA. Its description in RNAcentral is "transfer-messenger RNA Midic_mitoc_IricVA". It matches the Rfam family "Alphaproteobacteria transfer-messenger RNA", at positions 148 to 355 of the family's 355-position model. From Rfam's summary of the family: Bacterial tmRNA, also known as 10Sa RNA or SsrA, is named for its dual tRNA and mRNA-like properties. Its role is to liberate the mRNA from a stalled ribosome. Lineage: Bacteria; Pseudomonadati; Pseudomonadota; Alphaproteobacteria; Rickettsiales; Candidatus Midichloriaceae. The record is from RNAcentral.
GGGGGUGAGCUAGCUUCGACAGAUAUUAAAAAAAGUUACUUUUACUCGGUAAGAUACCGCCGUAAUGGAUCAAAAAAAGUAAAUGCAAACAAUAAGUUUGUACCUGCUAAUAGCGACUUUGUGCCAGCUCUUCAAGCAGCAUAACAUGAGCUAGUUAGCGCGGUUUGGGCUUGCCGGGCAACAGAAAAGCCCACAA